GCAGCAGUGAGGAAGGGGAGAAAAGAGAUGCUGUUGAAAAACCUCCUCACAGCUCUGCACCAUCCCCUCCCGCCAUGCCCACCCCAGUGCCAAGCAGGACAGGCAGGAGAAAUGGGAUGAAGCCUUAGGACAGGUCACACAAAAGGCUCACACAGCUGCUGCCUGUCACUUUUGAUAAAGAAAAAG
Molecule: long non-coding RNA, 186 nt
Organism: Athene cunicularia (burrowing owl)
Lineage: Eukaryota; Metazoa; Chordata; Aves; Strigiformes; Strigidae
Exons: 3
Source: RefSeq, a predicted model, not a curated record